AUGUUGGUUUGGUUUGGGUUGCUUCUCAGGAUGUCGAGUUUUCGCCGUGUUUUCUCUUUCUGGGCAAACAAGAUACCAGAAGAAUGGAGACAGAGUAUAUUAGUACCAAUCUUCAAGAACAAAGGGGAUGUUCAGAGUUGUACUAAUUACCGUGGAAUUAAGCUGAUGAGCCAUACAAUGAAGCUUUGGGAGAGAGUCAUUGAGCACCGCUUAAGAAGAAUGACAAGCGUGACCAAAAAAUCAGUUUGGUUUCAUGCCUGGGAGGUCGACCAUGGAAGCCAUUUCUUGGUACGACAACUUAUGGAGAGAUAUAGGGAGCAAAAGAAGGACUUGCAUAUGGUGUUCAUUGACUUGGAGAAGGCCUAUGAUAAGAUACCGCGGAAUGUCAUGUGGUGGGCCUUGGAGAAACACAAAGUCCCAGCAAAGUACAUUACCCUCAUCAAGGGCAUGUACGAUAAUGUUGUGACAAGUGUUCGAACAAGUGAUGCCGACACCGAUGACUUCCAGAUUAAGAUAGGACUGCAUCAGGGGUCAGCUUUGCGCCCUUAUCUUUUUGCAUUGGUGAUGGAUGAGGUCACAAGGGAUAUACAAGGAGACAUCCCAUGGUGCAUGCUCUUUGUGGAUGAUGUGGUGCUAGUUGACGAUAGUCGGACGGGGGUAAAUAGGAAGUUAGAGUUAUGGAGACAAACCUUGGAAUCGAAAGGGUUUAGGCUUAGUAGAACUAAAACCGAGUACAUGAUGUGCGGUUUCAGUACUACUAGGUGUGAGGAGGAGGAGGUUAGCCUUGAUGGCCAGGUGGUACCCCAGAAGGACACCUUUCGGUAUUUGGGGUCAAUGUUGCAGGAGGAUGUGGGUAUUGAUGAAGAUGUGAACCACCGAAUCAUAGCCGGAUGGAUGAAGUGGCGCCAAGCUUCUGGCAUUCUCUGUGAUAAGAGAGUGCCACAAAAGCUAAAAGGCAAGUUCUACAGGACGGCGGUUCGACCCGCAAUGUUGUAUGGCGCUGAGUGUUGGCCGACUAAAAGGCGACAUGUUCAAUAG
Molecule: ribosomal RNA, 1038 nt
Filed under: Triticum aestivum (bread wheat)
Lineage: Eukaryota; Viridiplantae; Streptophyta; Magnoliopsida; Poales; Poaceae
Description: partial small subunit ribosomal RNA
Source: RNAcentral